UGGCAAGUGUUUUGAACCCACUGAGC
This 26-nucleotide non-coding RNA is filed under the name Mus musculus (house mouse). The record is from RNAcentral. Lineage: Eukaryota; Metazoa; Chordata; Mammalia; Rodentia; Muridae.